This is a long non-coding RNA of Helicoverpa armigera (cotton bollworm), 612 nucleotides long. RefSeq lists it as uncharacterized. Lineage: Eukaryota; Metazoa; Arthropoda; Insecta; Lepidoptera; Noctuidae. The record is from RefSeq and is a predicted model, not a curated record. The transcript is spliced from 4 exons.
CCAGAAAAUACCUAUAGUAUAUUUGCACUAUUUAAAUUCUGUCUCAAGACGAGAACGUCUAUUACGAUUUUGAGAGGACAUCUUGCACAUCAACAAUCAUGAAGAGCUUCAUCCUCAUCGCAGUGCUGUCAACCUUGUCAGUCUGCCUAGGCGCAGCUGUGCAGCGUUCCGAUAUUCCCGUAGACAUAGGCGUUGCUAAACCCGGAGAUUGGGUUUUGGUACAAGCAGAAACUCGGGCCAACCCACUGGAGAAUUAUAUAACCUCAAUAACUGUGCGAACUCGAUUGGAUCCUAGAUACCGGGUCAAUAUGCUGAGGCUCAUCGAUAGAAAUCCAGCCCAAGGAGCUGUAAUUUCAAACAUAGGAGGGGUUGGAACGAACGAAGUCAGCUUUAUAGUAACAUCUCAGCCCCAUGAUGGAUUCCAUAUUACUUCUCAGCUGUGGGGAGAGGACUUGACUGCAGGGACAGGCGCUGUGCGCUCCUUAGAGCCUACAGAAUGUAUUAUGACAGUGGAUAAUGGAAAAACUGUUCAAACAUAUUACUGCAAUGAAAUGGUUCACUGGAGUCAAUAGAUUGUUCAUUCAUUAUUGGAGUCAAAUAAAUUAUUCAUUC